UUGGAGGAAAGAGCAGAGCAGAUCCGUUCCAAGUCCCACCUCAUCCAGGUGGAGCGGGAGAAGAUGCAGAUGGAGCUGAGUCACAAGAGGGCUUGAGUGGAGCUGGAGAGAGCAGCCAGCACCAGUGCCAGGAACUAUGAGCGCGAGGUUGACCGCAACCAGGAGCUCCUGACGCGCAUCCGGCAGCUUCAGGAGCGUGAGGCCGGCGCAGAGGAGAAGAUACAGGAGCAGCUGGAGCGCAGUAGGCAGUGUCAGCAGAACCUGGACG
Callithrix jacchus (white-tufted-ear marmoset) is the source of this 268-nucleotide non-coding RNA. Lineage: Eukaryota; Metazoa; Chordata; Mammalia; Primates; Cebidae. The record is from RefSeq and is a predicted model, not a curated record.